RNAcentral lists this transfer RNA (69 nucleotides) under Craugastor augusti (barking frog). Its description in RNAcentral is "tRNA-Asp". It matches the Rfam family "tRNA". From Rfam's summary of the family: Transfer RNA (tRNA) molecules are approximately 80 nucleotides in length. Their secondary structure includes four short double-helical elements and three loops (D, anti-codon, and T loops). The record is from RNAcentral. Lineage: Eukaryota; Metazoa; Chordata; Amphibia; Anura; Craugastoridae.
GAGGAGUUAGUUAACUAAUAACCUUAGCCUGUCAAGAUAAAAUAGCGGGUUAAACCCCCGCACCCCUCA